AAGAAUCUGGACACAGGUGCUGCAUGGCUGUCGUCAGCGUCGUCGUCGUGAGAUGUUGGGUUAAGUCCCGUAACGAGCGCAACCCUUGUCCUUAGUUACCAGCACGUUAUGGUGGGCACUCUAAGGAGACUGCCGGUGACAAACCGGAGGAAGGUGGGGAUGACGUCAAGUCAUCAUGGCCCUUACGGCCUGGGCUACACACGUGCUACAAUGGUCGGUACAAAGGGUUGCCAAGCCGCGAGGUGGAGCUAAUCCCAUAAAACCGAUCGUAGUCCGGAUCGCAGUCUGCAACUCGACUGCGUGAAGUCGGAAUCGCUAGUAAUCGUGAAUCAGAAUGUCACGGUGAAUACGUUCCCGGGCCUU
Molecule: ribosomal RNA, 363 nt
Filed under: uncultured Pseudomonas sp.
Lineage: Bacteria; Pseudomonadati; Pseudomonadota; Gammaproteobacteria; Pseudomonadales; Pseudomonadaceae
Description: bacterial SSU rRNA
Rfam family: Bacterial small subunit ribosomal RNA
Source: RNAcentral